AGAGACUUGGGCAAUGUGACUGCUGAUCAGC
RNAcentral lists this unclassified non-coding RNA (31 nucleotides) under Drosophila melanogaster (fruit fly). RNAcentral describes it as "RNA (30-MER) from Drosophila melanogaster (PDB 7W0A, chain C)". Lineage: Eukaryota; Metazoa; Arthropoda; Insecta; Diptera; Drosophilidae. The record is from RNAcentral.